GUCGGACGGGAUCCAUCGGAGAGCUUGCUCGAAGAUGGUGAGAGUGGCGCACCGUUGCGUAACGCGUGAGCAACCUACCUCUAUCAGGGGGAUAGCCUCUCGAAAGAGAGAUUAACACCGCAACUAACAUCAACAGUUCGCAUGUUCGGUUGAUUAAAUAUUUAUAGGAUAGAGAUGGGCUCGCGUGACAUUAGCUAGUUGGUAGGGUAACGGCUUACCAAGGCGACGAUGUCUAGGGGCUCUGAAAGGAGAAUCCCCCACACUGGUACUGAGACACGGACCAGACUCCUACGGGAGGCAGCAGUAAGGAAUAUUGGUCAAUGGGCGGAAGCCUGAACCAGCCAUGCCGCGUGCAGGAUGACUGCCCUAUGGGUUGUACAAACUGCUUUUGUCCAGGAAUAAACCUAAAUACGUGUAUUUAGCUGAAUGUACUGGAAGAAUAGGGAUCGGCUAACUCCGUGCCAGCAGCCGCGGUAAUACGGAGGAUCCGAGCGUUAUCCGGAUUUAUUGGGUUUAAAGGGUGCGUAGGCGGCCUAUUAAGUCAGGGGUGAAAUACGGUGGCUCAACCAUCGCAGUGCCUUUGAUACUGAUGGGCUUGAAUCCAUUUGAAGUGGGCGGAAUAAGACAAGUAGCGGUGAAAUGCAUAGAUAUGUCUUAGAACUCCGAUUGCGAAGGCAGCUCACUAAGCUGGUAUUGACGCUGAUGCACGAAAGCGUGGGGAUCGAACAGGAUUAGAUACCCUGGUAGUCCACGCCCUAAACGAUGAUAACUCGAUGUUGGCGAUAGACAGCCAGCGUCCCAGCCAAAGCGUUAAGUUAUCCACCCUGGGGAGUACGCCCGCCAGGGUGAAAA
This 852-nucleotide ribosomal RNA is filed under the name uncultured bacterium. RNAcentral's name for it is "bacterial SSU rRNA". It matches the Rfam family "Bacterial small subunit ribosomal RNA", at positions 61 to 900 of the family's 1533-position model. The record is from RNAcentral.